UGGGGAAUUUUGGACAAUGGGCGAAAGCCUGAUCCAGCAAUGCCGCGUGUGUGAAGAAGGCCUUCGGGUUGUAAAGCACUUUUGUCCGGAAAGAAAUCCUUGGCUCUAAUACAGUCGGGGGAUGACGGUACCGGAAGAAUAAGCACCGGCUAACUACGUGCCAGCAGCCGCGGUAAUACGUAGGGUGCAAGCGUUAAUCGGAAUUACUGGGCGUAAAGCGUGCGCAGGCGGUUUGCUAAGACCGAUGUGAAAUCCCCGGGCUCAACCUGGGAACUGCAUUGGUGACUGGCAGGCUAGAGUAUGGCAGAGGGGGGUAGAAUUCCACGUGUAGCAGUGAAAUGCGUAGAGAUGUGGAGGAAUACCGAUGGCGAAGGCAGCCCCCUGGGCCAAAUACUGACGCUCAUGCACGAAAGCGUGGGGAGCAAAACAGGAUUAGAUACCCUGGUAGUCCACGCCCUAAAACGAUGUCAACUAGUUGUUGGGGAUUCAUUUCCUUAGUAACGUAGCUAAACGCGUGAAGUUGACCGCCUGGGGAGUACGGUCGCAAGAUUAAAACUCAAAGGAAUUGACGGGGUCAUAGCUGUUUCC
RNAcentral lists this ribosomal RNA (588 nucleotides) under uncultured bacterium. RNAcentral describes it as "partial 16S ribosomal RNA". It matches the Rfam family "Bacterial small subunit ribosomal RNA", at positions 355 to 937 of the family's 1533-position model. The record is from RNAcentral.